Long non-coding RNA from Impatiens glandulifera, 1035 nucleotides. RefSeq lists it as uncharacterized. Lineage: Eukaryota; Viridiplantae; Streptophyta; Magnoliopsida; Ericales; Balsaminaceae. The transcript has 7 exons. The record is from RefSeq and is a predicted model, not a curated record.
ACAGACGUUUAUAGAAUGGCGAUUUACCGUACCAAGAUCCAUGGGAUGCUUUACUAUCUGAUGAUAAUCGUGAAGCCCUAAAGCGGCAGCAUCAACAGGUUUCUUGAAAACCCAGCAACGUUUUUGCUUCAACAAUGUAUUAAGAAAGCGUCUGCAGACCAUCAUUAUAUCAUUGAUUUCUUUUGCAUUUAAUCUACUACUAGCUGGAACGACACGAUCUCCGGCAUCCACACGAUCUUUGAGGGUUUGAAUCUGCUCAAGCUCUGCAGUCAACUUUCUUUUCAGGUCAAUUAGCUCGAUCCUUGUAUACGAACUAAUGUUAUAGGGAAAUUGCUAAAUGAAGACAAUGAUGUUAGAUCUAAUCUCCUUGAGAUCUAGAAGUAUAACAAGUCUGAUCUAAGUUGGUCCAAGAACAAUUAUCCCCUAGUUCACCUGGAUGCCAUCUUUCAUAAGAGUUAAUCCUAUCAUACAGAGAUGUAUGGGCUUCCUUUUCACUAGCAAAGUUCGAUAUUGCAGCCUUUAUGACAAAGGAUAAGUACUAAUAUAAGAACUGUGUCGAUUUCAGUACUACAUUUAUGAAUUUUAUAGAAUUCACUAACUUACAUAGUCAAAUGAUGCUCUUUUUGGCACAGAACAUGUAGCUGUGGUUUCAAAUAUUAUAGAUUCAGUUGCUGAAGAAGUUGAACGGCUCAAGUCUGUAGAUGAUAUGGUUCAUAUAUGGUGCGGUUGGCCCUCUGUAAUCAGAUGUUGCCGUUUCAGGAGUUGCCAAAGCAUUUGGAGUUUGAACAGCCCAGAUGAGGAGUUCGAAUAAUAUCCUAGGCAUACUAUUGGUGAAAAAUUAACCGGGUGACAAAAAUGAGCUUCUGUUUUGAAGGCUGAGGCAAAACAUGUAAAGAAAACGUUUAUGCUAGAUGAGAACAAGCGUUCCACAUAUAAGCUCUCUCAAGCAUCAACUUUAGGCGACGAUCCAUAUAUGUUGACUUCCCUCAAUGGGCAAACCAAUCGGUUAAUGGGGGUACUGUAGAGUUUGGUUAG